Phodopus roborovskii (desert hamster) is the source of this 106-nucleotide small nuclear RNA. NCBI's taxonomy places the organism in Eukaryota, Metazoa, Chordata, Mammalia, Rodentia, Cricetidae. The record is from RefSeq and is a predicted model, not a curated record.
GUGCUCACUUUGGCAACAUAUAUGCUAAAAGUGGAAUGAUCCAGAGACGAUUAGCAUGGCCCCUGUGAAAGAUGAUAUGCAAAUUUGUGAAGCAUUCCAUAUAUUU